This 510-nucleotide ribosomal RNA is filed under the name uncultured bacterium. RNAcentral describes it as "partial 16S ribosomal RNA". It matches the Rfam family "Bacterial small subunit ribosomal RNA", at positions 28 to 507 of the family's 1533-position model. The record is from RNAcentral.
GACGAACGCUGGCGGCGUGCUUAACACAUGCAAGUCGAACGAAGAGCGACGGAAGCUUGCUUCUAUCACUCUUAGUGGCGAACGGGUGAGUAACGCGUAAUCAACCUGCCCUUCAGAGGGGGACAACAGUUGGAAACGACUGCUAAUACCGCAUACGAUCUAACCUCGGCAUCGAGGAUAGAUGAAAGGUGGCCUCUACAUGUAAGCUAUCACUGAAGGAGGGGAUUGCGUCUGAUUAGCUAGUUGGAGGGGUAACGGCCCACCAAGGCGAUGAUCAGUAGCCGGUCUGAGAGGAUGGACGGCCAAAUUGGGACUGGGGCACGGCCCAGGCUCCUAAGGGAGGCAGCAGUGGGGAAUCUUCCGCAAUGGACGAAAGUCUGACGGAGCAACGCCGCGUGAGUGAUGACGGCCUUCGGGUUGGAAAGCUCUGUUAAUCGGGACGAAAGGCCUUCUUGCGAAUAGUGAGAAGGAUUGACGGUACCGGAAUAGAAAGCCACGGCUAACUACGUG